RNAcentral lists this unclassified non-coding RNA (156 nucleotides) under uncultured Eurotiomycetes. RNAcentral's name for it is "sequence contains ITS2". Lineage: Eukaryota; Fungi; Ascomycota; Eurotiomycetes. RNAcentral also lists the same sequence under 1 other name. The record is from RNAcentral.
CUGCCCUCAAGCACGGCUUGUGUGUUGGGUGCGGUCCCCCCGGGGGCCUGCCCGAAAGGCAGCGGCGACGUCCGUCUGGUCCUCGAGCGUAUGGGGCUUUGUCACUCGCUCGGGAAGGACUGGCGGGGGUUGGUCACCACCACAAAAUUUUACCAC